UGAAUAUAACUAGAAAAAGCAUUUCCUGCUGAAAAUGCGUUGGAAUGCAAAAAGCUGAAAGCUGCACUGAAUAUUUGAAAAUAGCUGAAAAUACAGAAAGUUGAAGGGAAUUUGAAUACAUUUGCUGAAUAUUUAAAAAUAGCUGAAAAUACAGAAAGUUGAAGGGAAUUUGAGUACAUUUGCUGAAUAUUUGAAAAUAGCUGAAAAUACAGAAAGUUGAAGGGAAUUUGAAUACAUUUGCUGAAAUAAAAGAUAUUAGAAAAGCUGAAAUUAAUUUGAAAUAGCUGAAAAUACAGAAAUGGGAGAAGCUGAAAGGAAUUUCAAUAGAUUUGCUGAAAAAGCAGAAAUGAAAACAGCUGAAAUAAAUGUGAAAUAUUGCAAAACAGAAGUUGCAGGAGCUUAAAUGAAUUUUAAAAAGGACAGAAAUAACAAAAGCUGAGAUGAAUAAAAAUAGGUUUAAAAUUGUUUGUAGUAAUGUUAGUUGUAAUUUGGGUAUCAGUACUAGCAGUAGAAGUCGGUUUAGUAUCAAUAGCAGUAGAAACAGCUGGAAUACUGAUACUAUUAGCCAUAGUAGUAUUUUUAAUAACAUUAGUAGUAGUUGUAUUAAUAGCAGUAGAAAUACUAGUAGUAUGGUAGUAGAAGUAUCAGUUGUAGUUCUACUAGAAGUACUAGUAAUAUUCGUAGUGGUUAUAGUAGUAUUUGAAAGAGCAAUGCGUAUUUCAACGAAACCGCUUCAUGGUUAAGGUACAGAUAAUCAUUGAGGCUUUUAGUUUGUAAUGAUGGAAUUGGGUGAGGGGGGGUUGGGAGACAGAAUGUUUGUUAUUCAAACUAAGAAGUUUUUAAUUAAUA
Molecule: long non-coding RNA, 849 nt
Organism: Gasterosteus aculeatus aculeatus (three-spined stickleback)
Lineage: Eukaryota; Metazoa; Chordata; Actinopteri; Perciformes; Gasterosteidae
Source: Ensembl